This 71-nucleotide transfer RNA is filed under the name Camelus ferus (Wild Bactrian camel). It matches the Rfam family "tRNA". Rfam says of the family: Transfer RNA (tRNA) molecules are approximately 80 nucleotides in length. Their secondary structure includes four short double-helical elements and three loops (D, anti-codon, and T loops). The record is from Rfam by way of RNAcentral. Lineage: Eukaryota; Metazoa; Chordata; Mammalia; Artiodactyla; Camelidae.
GUGGAUAUAGUUCAGUGGUAGAGCGUGUAGUUAGUAUGAACAAGGUCCUGGGUUCAAUCCCCAGUACCACC